This 491-nucleotide ribosomal RNA is filed under the name uncultured bacterium. RNAcentral describes it as "bacterial SSU rRNA". It matches the Rfam family "Bacterial small subunit ribosomal RNA", at positions 27 to 507 of the family's 1533-position model. The record is from RNAcentral.
GGAUGAACGCUAGCUACAGGCUUAACACAUGCAAGUCGAGGGGCAGCGGGAUUGAAGCUUGCUUCAAUUGCCGGCGACCGGCGCACGGGUGAGUAACGCGUAUCCAACCUUCCGUUUACUCAGGGAUAGCCUUUCGAAAGAAAGAUUAAUACCUGAUAGUAUGGUGAGAUUGCAUGAUAACACCAUUAAAGAUUUAUUGGUAAACGAUGGGGAUGCGUUCCAUUAGGUAGUAGGCGGGGUAACGGCCCACCUAGCCUGCGGUGGAUAGGGGUUCUGAGAGGAAGGUCCCCCACAUUGGAACUGAGACACGGUCCAAACUCCUACGGGAGGCAGCAGUGAGGAAUAUUGGUCAAUGGGCGAGAGCCUGAACCAGCCAAGUAGCGUGAAGGAUGAAGGUCCUACGGAUUGUAAACUUCUUUUAUACGGGAAUAAAGUUUCCUACGUGUAGGAUUUUGUAUGUACCGUAUGAAUAAGCAUCGGCUAACUCCGUG